Molecule: small nuclear RNA, 198 nt
Organism: Octodon degus (degu)
Lineage: Eukaryota; Metazoa; Chordata; Mammalia; Rodentia; Octodontidae
Gene: U2
Rfam family: U2 spliceosomal RNA
About the family: U2 is a small nuclear RNA (snRNA) component of the spliceosome (involved in pre-mRNA splicing).
Source: Ensembl
AAAACUUCAUAACAAGUAAAACAGCAAAAAAAAUCAAGUGUAGAAUCUGUUCUUAUCAGUUUAAUAUCUGAUACAUCCUCUGUCUGAGGACAAUAUAUUAAAUGGAGUUUUGGAGCUGGGAGAUGGAAUCGGAGCUUGCUCCAUCCACUGCACACACCAACCUGGUAUUGCAUUACCUCCAGGAACAGUGCGUCCUCU